Molecule: ribosomal RNA, 253 nt
Filed under: uncultured bacterium
Lineage: Bacteria
Description: partial 16S ribosomal RNA
Rfam family: Bacterial small subunit ribosomal RNA
Source: RNAcentral
UACGUAGGGUGCGAGCGUUGUCCGGAUUUAUUGGGCGUAAAGAGCGUGUAGGCGGCCAGGUAGGUCUGCUGUGAAAACUCGAGGCUCAACCUCGAGACGUCGGCGGAAACCAUCUGGCUAGAGUCCGGAAGAGGAGAGUGGAAUUCCUGGUGUAGCGGUGAAAUGCGCAGAUAUCAGGAAGAACACCCGUGGCGAAGGCGGCUCUCUGGGACGGUACUGACGCUGAGGAGCGAAAGCGUGGGGAGCGAACAGG